This 253-nucleotide ribosomal RNA is filed under the name uncultured bacterium. RNAcentral describes it as "partial 16S ribosomal RNA". It matches the Rfam family "Bacterial small subunit ribosomal RNA", at positions 524 to 776 of the family's 1533-position model. The record is from RNAcentral.
UACGUAGGGUGCAGGCGUUAAUCGGAAUUACUGGGCGUAAAGCGUGCGCAGGCGGUUCGUUAUGUCCGUUGUGAAAGCCCCGGGCUCAACCUGGGAAUGGCAAUGGAAACUGGCGGGCUAGAGUGUGGCAGAGGGGGGUGGAAUUCCGCGUGUAGCAGUGAAAUGCGUAGAGAUGCGGAGGAACACCGAUGGCGAAGGCAGCCCCCUGGGCUAGCACUGACGCUCAGGCACGAAAGCGUGGGGAGCAAACAGG